Lepisosteus oculatus (spotted gar) is the source of this 119-nucleotide ribosomal RNA. The record is from Rfam. Lineage: Eukaryota; Metazoa; Chordata; Actinopteri; Semionotiformes; Lepisosteidae.
GCCAGCAGCCAUAUCACCCUGCAACUCACAGCUGGCAGCCCACUGAAGCUCAGCAGGUGUGACCCUGAUCAGUACCUGGAUGGGAGACCUCCUGGAAAAAACUAAGGCUGCUGCUGGAA